Molecule: non-coding RNA, 1736 nt
Organism: Arachis ipaensis
Lineage: Eukaryota; Viridiplantae; Streptophyta; Magnoliopsida; Fabales; Fabaceae
Source: RefSeq, a predicted model, not a curated record
GAAAAGAGAAGAAAGAAAAUUUCCCUUUCCACCACGCGCCGCUUCCUCCUUCACCUGCGAGCUUCCCCAAACCCUCUUCAUCCCUUGUUUCUCUUCACUUUCUUGCUCUCUCUUUUCUUCAUCAAUGAAAGAUUGAUUUCGCUACUGGCCUAGGUUAACUCGUGUAACCAUUGCCAUCGCCGACCACCACCACCACCACUGUAACCAUUGACGAUAGCUGCCAUCCAUCAUCCUACUCCUUGGACUUCGUUUCCAUCCGAUCUGCCUCAGAUUCGCAUCUCUGUCAUUGUUUGUUCAUCUCAGAUCUACGUCGCCAAGGGCUUUCAGCCACCGUUGCUGCUCUUAUCGCAACACCACACCUCCGUCGCUUGCACCGCCACCGUUCUUGCAUGUAGACGCACAAGAUCAUCGCCGCCGGUUGGGGUUAUGGCUUUUGUCACAGGUUGAGCCCUCAGAGAUAUUUUUGAAAUCUAUAUCGAAUGAAGUCACUAGCGUCAAAGUCAUUUACCCUUCAAGUCUAAAUGCACAACUUGUUCGCCGAAGAUUAGGACAUAUUGCUCUGAGGGGAACAAUUAUCCACCGAAAAUACUUAUAUGCUACAGUUUCAUUGAUUCCAUUUUUCUCUACACUGAUGGUUUUACCUUUUCCUAAUAUCACAUUCUUCUGGGUUUCAUUUCGGGCUUAUUCUCAUUGGAGAGCCCUUCAGGAUAUGUAGGUUUAAUAUAGCUACAUUAUGAAAAGCUACAUAAUGCCAUUAGCAAACUUAAGCAGCAAUUCCCUUCAGCAAUGCUUAAGCUUUCCAGAUGAAAUUGCAGGGACAAAGUCAGAGUUCCAAUGGCAACUUUGUGCUCGAGUUGGACUUUGAGCCUUUUAACAUAUCAUUUUCCCGCCCAACACUUAACAAGUCAAUUGGAAAUGGCGUUGAGUUCUUUAAUGGCCACCUUUCCGCUAAGUUUUUCCGUGGUAAGGAGAGCAUGCAGCCAUUGCUGGAGUUCCUAAGGCUUCAUAGCUACAAUGGAAAGGUAUGCUCUAUGCACUUCUGACAACAAAUUCACAAAUUUUUUAACAACAAAAGAUGAUUGGCACCAUUGGUAAAGCAAUAAAAUGACCUUGUAUCUUAAAAGACGCUUGCUGAAAUGAUGAUCACUUAGGUGGGACAAUAAUCUGUAACUAUCUCUGAAGAUAUUCUUUGGAAGGAUCCCUAUGGUCUUCAAUAUGGUGAUCCUUUCUCCCAUGGUUACUUUGCUCAAGACAAUGUCUUGGGAUACCCUAAUACUAGUGGCCAGGUUAUUUGAGAACUCUAGAUCAUAUGAUAAAAUUUGUAAUUCUAUUUUCGUGUUAACAUUUUAUUCCUCAAUAAUGUUAAUUGGCAUAAACUGUUCUUGAUUCUAUAAUCAGGUUGUUUACAUCUUGGAUCAAGUUCGUGCAUUGGAGAAUGAGAUGCUCAACCGCAUCAACAAAUAAGGCUUGGACAUCACCCCUCGCAUUCUCAUUGUAUCUCCCUAUUCCAGAUGUAAAUAUUUAGCUGACUUGUAUAUAGUGAAUCGAUUUUCACUAACUUGAGCCUGUGAUUGCUUUUAAAAUGGAUUUUCACCCCGUGAUUUUCAUUAAUAUUUAACCUAUCAUUGGGAUUGGUUUAUAGCCUAACUUAAUGUAACAUAGUUAUAAGCUUGUAGCAUUUUUUAUUAUUUAGAUUUGUAACAUGAUUUAUUACUUUUCAAGAGAAAUUUGUGUAU